Long non-coding RNA from Carassius carassius (crucian carp), 373 nucleotides. RefSeq lists it as uncharacterized. The transcript has 5 exons. The record is from RefSeq and is a predicted model, not a curated record. NCBI's taxonomy places the organism in Eukaryota, Metazoa, Chordata, Actinopteri, Cypriniformes, Cyprinidae.
UCUUCUGCAGCUCCAGUUUCAACACUGAAUCCAGUCAGCAGCUCAAACUCUGAGACGACAUCGAGCCGGACUACAGCAGCAGCUCCUACACAAGCUCAAGCUGAUUUAACGACAACAGUGAAUACUACAGAAGUGAUUAUGAUUGUUGUCGGCGCUUCAUUCAUUCUUCUCCUUCUUGCUCUGAUUCUUUGGCUGAUGAUUCGUAAAAAAAGAUCCGCUGUCAGAAGAGCGACUGAUGACUUUGUGAUGAUGACAAGAAUAUUUCUACUGUUUCUGCUCUAAAGAUCAGCGAUAGAAAUAAAUAUAAUGGACCAGUGACACAAUCAACAUUUCCAUUCAUCCUGCUCCUGCUGAACAAUAUGAUUCAUCUUCA